UUUGUAUAAUGGGUCAGCGACUUAUAUUCUGUAGCAAGGUUAACCGAAUAGGGGAGCCGAAGGGAAACCGAGUCUUAACUGGGCGUUAAGUUGCAGGGUAUAGACCCGAAACCCGGUGAUCUAGCCAUGGGCAGGUUGAAGGUUGGGUAACACUAACUGGAGGACCGAACCGACUAAUGUUGAAAAAUUAGCGGAUGACUUGUGGCUGGGGGUGAAAGGCCAAUCAAACCGGGAGAUAGCUGGUUCUCCCCGAAAGCUAUUUAGGUAGCGCCUCGUGAAUUCAUCUCCGGGGGUAGAGCACUGUUUCGGCAAGGGGGUCAUCCCGACUUACCAACCCGAUGCAAACUGCGAAUACCGGAGAAUGUUAUCACGGGAGACACACGGCGGGUGCUAACGUCCGUCGUGAAGAGGGAAACAACCCAGACCGCCAGCUAAGGUCCCAAAGUCAUGGUUAAGUGGGAAACGAUGUGGGAAGGCCCAGACAGCCAGGAUGUUGGCUUAGAAGCAGCCAUCAUUUAAAGAAAGCGUAAUAGCUCACUGGUCGAGUCGGCCUGCGCGGAAGAUGUAACGGGGCUAAACCAUG
RNAcentral lists this ribosomal RNA (583 nucleotides) under Escherichia coli. RNAcentral describes it as "partial 23S ribosomal RNA". It matches the Rfam family "Bacterial large subunit ribosomal RNA", at positions 607 to 1191 of the family's 2925-position model. Lineage: Bacteria; Pseudomonadati; Pseudomonadota; Gammaproteobacteria; Enterobacterales; Enterobacteriaceae. The record is from RNAcentral.